Non-coding RNA from Oncorhynchus mykiss (rainbow trout), 448 nucleotides. Lineage: Eukaryota; Metazoa; Chordata; Actinopteri; Salmoniformes; Salmonidae. The record is from RefSeq and is a predicted model, not a curated record.
GCCCGAUCCAUUCCCAAACUUGAAGCCCUCUGUCCCCAGCAGGAAAAACAGGAAAAAGUGUUGGCUUAAGGUAACCGUGUUUCCACCGUCUGGAGUGGCACGCUGGAACUUCCAGAGGCUUGAAGACCUGAAGCCAUGUGAUGUGGUCCAGCUCAACCACAGUCCUCACAGCUGCAUUCAUCAGCCCCUGCACCUGCUACACCGGCUGUGACAGAUCUGCCACCCCUAGCAGUUCAUCUGCAGUCACAGCAGUCCUCUGCUGUGGUAUGUAAAUUACCGGCUGCACCAGGUCUUACUAUACUGGCCGUGAAGGGAGAAACUACUGAGGAAAACCCAGAUGGAUACAGGUCAUUCAUAAUUAUAUUACAUACACUCACUCACUCACACCAACAGAUGUGCACACAAACAUGUUGUUGACCUGUAUAGUUACUGUCACUUUGUUCAUCUC